Molecule: long non-coding RNA, 1392 nt
Organism: Mytilus californianus (California mussel)
Lineage: Eukaryota; Metazoa; Mollusca; Bivalvia; Mytilida; Mytilidae
Exons: 3
Source: RefSeq, a predicted model, not a curated record
GUAAACUAAAAAGAUGAAUAAUGGUCUGCAGUAAAUAUAUCCCCUUACAACCUUUUCUUUCAUGUUAAUUUUAAUAUCUUUAAGAUAUGUGACAAGGGUGCUCUAAUGCAGAGGAAUUUACGAAGUUAAGAAGUUAGAAAUAUAUUUUUUUCACAUUUUUGUCAUUUUUAGCUGAUUUUGGUUUGUAAUUAAGGUGAUAUUUUUUAAAGAAUAAUUUUACAAAAGGUAUAGUUGAAGAACAUCUUGUUGAAAUUGGAUUGGUUGAUUUUUGGUGUUAAACACCACUUUAACAUGAUUUACUAUAAUUUUGGCUGUAAAUUUUUAUUUGUGGAGACAGCCAGAGUGCCUGGUGAAAACAUCACCUUCAUCAGGGAAACGGGCAAACCUUAGUCAAAUUAAGAAUGAAGUUACACAUUUCAUGUGAGGGUUCUCAGUGUUGACAGGCUAGUGAUACAGUAGUUGAACUACUUAUAGGACCACUCUGCCACCAUAAGUCGAUCAGUACGAAAUAUUUUAUUGAAAUGUGUUAGAUUUUUGUUAUCAAUCUAUUUUCUAAUUUUAAUUGUACUAUUUUAUUUAUUUUGUUUAAUAUAACAAGGAUGUGGAGUCCGAACAGGGUGAAAUUUGGGUCAAAGGGAGGCAAUUUAUUAUACCCCUGUUUAACUCCACAUACUUGAAAUUCCCUCAAUGUUAGGAUUUUCAUCUACUUGGAUAUUCAUGUUUGUACAUUUUUUUUUUAAUAUCAGAUGUAUACUAGCUAAUAUUGACUAUUAUUUAGAGCUUUGUAAUAAAAAAAAAUAAAUGUAAGCAGAGCUCUAGAUAAUAAGUAUGCAGGGUGGGAGAAAUCUUGGGUCAUUAACAAUUGAUUUGCUGAAAUUUUCAAGAAAGGGGAUUUAUUGGAAAUGCAUCUGAUAUAUUUAAUGUAUAAGACUAUACUGUAGAAACAUUAAUUUUCGUGGGGUUAAAAUUUCGUGGUUUUUUUCUCUAUAUAAAAUUUCAUGGGGAUUUAAUUUCGUGGUUUCCAUUAAAUGGAAGUGAUAUUAUAUGAAGGUUAAAUUUUCGUGGGGGUUUUAAUUUCGUGGAUAUAUUCUUUCCACGAAAUAAACGAAAUUAAGUCCUCCACGAAAAUUUCUGCUUUUACAGUAUUUAAAAAAAAAAGAUGUUAAGAUGAUGAGGAGAGCCACCUUGUCAGCCGGGAGAGCAGCUCUAAGGGAGAUGGUCAAUUUAAUCUUCACCAAGUCUGAGGCUUUACCAUGAAAAAUAUGUGGUUGUUAUAAUGAUGAUGUUUUCAUGGUGUUGGGAGUAAGACUUGGAUGUCUGAUAUUGUUAACAUGUUGGUUAGCAUCAGGUUUCCAUUAGGUUACUUGCUGGGAUAAAGCUGUUAUAAGGCGA